GGACGCGUGCCCGAAUAUCAAGGACUACUUUGAUAGAGUACACCAUAGGGGUUAAACUCCCCUCGCCUCCU
This 71-nucleotide transfer RNA is filed under the name Saltuarius cornutus (Northern leaf-tail gecko). RNAcentral describes it as "tRNA-Ile". Lineage: Eukaryota; Metazoa; Chordata; Lepidosauria; Squamata; Carphodactylidae. The record is from RNAcentral.